CCCGUCGGGAGGCAGCUUAGGGCCCGAUUAUCAGGGAUUGCGUUGGUGAGUUAUUGUUAACCAAAGGGUUAACCAGUGGAUUGGAUAAAUUCAGUAAAAGCACGCAUGCAUAUUUACAGAUUUCCUAUAUUGCUUUCUUUCAGCUUUGUACAGGCAUUGUAGUAGUUACAUGUUAUAGUUGGUUACUAUCUGUUUACUUCUUUUGCCUACAUAUGCCUGAAUAGACCUAGUGGGUGAGUCGGCGAGGUCGGCGGCCGAACCCACUGGGAACUUUUAGUAGUUCUCACACCACUAACCAUACAGGUUCCAGUGCGAGCGUUGUGGCCGAGGAUCGCGGUAAGAGCCCUGCAGCCUAACUAGCAGACACCAGUGUUUAGUGGUAUACCAUUUUGAGUUCAUGUGAGACAUUUUGAUGUACUGAGACAUGUAAAUGGAUGUAUUAUAAAGCAUGUAAAUAACUAAAUGUUUCAGUUAUUUAGUUAUGUAAAGUUCAGUUUAAAAGUUUUAAAUUACAGUGAAUUUUCAGUAUAGCUAGCUUACUAUCACUUGUGAUUGUUGCUUGCCCUCGUGCAAGCCAUGUAUAUUGAAAUGUUAUCCUGGGGAUUGUUUAUUUCUUUAUACAUGUACUCGUUGUUGUUGAGCCUUGGGCGGACAGAGGAGGUUCUGUCCGUUCGGCGUCUGUGUACGGGCCCGAAUUGACCAAAUUGGCGAUAGCGGGACGUGACAGUUACGGCGGAGACCAUUCCGACUGGAUCGAGAAAUUUGGCCUCUGGCUCUGCGGAGAUGGAAGCGGAGAGGGAGCGAGCUUUGGCAGCCCUCAUGACCUUCAAGAGGUUCAAUCCGCCUAUCUUCGACGAACAGACUGUGGAUCUGUGGGUCGUGGAAA
RNAcentral lists this long non-coding RNA (886 nucleotides) under Ananas comosus (pineapple). RNAcentral's name for it is "long non-coding RNA (ACOM_LNC036325)". The record is from RNAcentral. Lineage: Eukaryota; Viridiplantae; Streptophyta; Magnoliopsida; Poales; Bromeliaceae.